AACCUUAUGGACCUGCGGGCGUAUACCUGCGGAGGGAUCAUCAUUGAAAAGUUUGCAAGACUUUAUUGGAGUUUUUGCGAAACAAACAAUUUAUUUAACACCCAAAAAGUUUAAAGUAAGCUUAGGCUGCUUUUACUUGACAAAAAUGAGUGGUUGCCUGACUGCAGAAAAAGUGUUUUGGUGUUGGGAAAUUGAAAACAACUUUUAACAACGGAUCU
This 218-nucleotide unclassified non-coding RNA is filed under the name soil metagenome. Its description in RNAcentral is "partial contains 5.8S ribosomal RNA, internal transcribed spacer 2, and large subunit ribosomal RNA". The record is from RNAcentral.